GACGAACGCUGGCGGCGUGCUUAACACAUGCAAGUCGAACGCUGAAGCCCAGCUUUUGUUGGGUGGUUGAGUGGCGAACGGGUGAGUAACACGUGAGUAACCUGCCCUCUUCUUUGGGAUAACGUCCGGAAACGGGUGCUAAUACUGGAUAUUCGCUCGUCCUCGCUGGGGGGUUGGUGGAAGGUGCUUUUCUGGUGGGGGGUGUGGUGGCGGCCUAUCUGCUUGUUGGUGUGGUGGUGGCCUACCAAGUCUUUGACGGGUGGCCGGCCGGAGAGGGUGACCGGGCAGAUUAGGAGUGAGAUAGGGCCCAGACUCCUGCGGGAGGCAGCAGGGGAGAAAAUUGUACAGUGGGCGGAAGACUGGUGGGGAGACGCAGGGUGAGAGGUGGAGGCCGGGGGGUUGGGAACCGGUUUCGCUAAUGGUUAAGCCGGAGAAAUAGUGGGGGUGAGGGUAAUGGGUAAAGAAGCGCCGGCUAACUACGUG
This 483-nucleotide ribosomal RNA is filed under the name uncultured bacterium. RNAcentral's name for it is "partial 16S ribosomal RNA". It matches the Rfam family "Bacterial small subunit ribosomal RNA", at positions 28 to 507 of the family's 1533-position model. The record is from RNAcentral.